UACGGGGGGAGCAAGCGUUGUUCGGAUUUACUGGGCGUAAAGGGCGCGUAGGCGGUCAGCACAAGUCAGUUGUGAAAUCUCCGGGCUUAACUCGGAAAGGUCAACUGAUACUGUGCGACUAGAGUGCAGAAGGGGCAACUGGAAUUCUCGGUGUAGCGGUGAAAUGCGUAGAUAUCGAGAGGAACACCUGCGGCGAAGGCGGGUUGCUGGGCUGACACUGACGCUGAUGCGCGAAAGCGUGGGGAGCGAACCGG
This 254-nucleotide ribosomal RNA is filed under the name uncultured bacterium. RNAcentral describes it as "partial 16S ribosomal RNA". It matches the Rfam family "Bacterial small subunit ribosomal RNA", at positions 524 to 776 of the family's 1533-position model. The record is from RNAcentral.